This 107-nucleotide non-coding RNA is filed under the name Ornithorhynchus anatinus (platypus). Lineage: Eukaryota; Metazoa; Chordata; Mammalia; Monotremata; Ornithorhynchidae. The record is from RNAcentral.
GAGUUGUAUGAAAGGAGAGAAGGUUAGACUCCCCUUAAGAAGGAUGGAAGAGGUCCUAGUAGCCUUUACAACACAUAUGGUUAAGGCAUUCUCCGCCCCUGUCCUCU